CGCUCUUGUUUUGUUUAAUCAUUUGAAGUUUGGCAGUAAACAGAGCUGAAAAGAGAAAAGGGUAGCUGGCCCCAGUUAGUUUGGGAGCAAGGCUUAGGCUCAGUUUGUUUUGCUGAAAAUAUUUUCCUGGAAAAGUUUUCUAACAUUUGGGCACUCAGAAAAAGGGUCAAAGUCCUAGUUAAAAGGAAAACUUUGAAAAGAUGAAAUAAUUUUCUGGACUUUGACAAUCUUGAUAAAAUAUGAACACUUAUACAAUAUUAGUUUAAUAUAGCAACCAAACAAUGGAAAAUAUUUUUAUAGCAAACAUUUUCUUAGAAAACAAUUUCCAUGAAAAAUAUUUUAAGUAUACAAGUUAUUUUUCUGCGAAACAAACAGAGCCUUAGUUAAGUUGAGUACGCUUUAUGUUAUCUCAAUGUCUAAUGACUGAAGACAAUGUGACUCAAAAGUUUAUGCAAUUUUUCUUUUUUUCCGAAUUAGAAAAAGAGUAGGGAAGUGUUAAGAGUUGCAAUAUUUUCCUUUUUGUGUAUGCU
Molecule: unclassified non-coding RNA, 530 nt
Filed under: Hevea brasiliensis (rubber tree)
Lineage: Eukaryota; Viridiplantae; Streptophyta; Magnoliopsida; Malpighiales; Euphorbiaceae
Source: RNAcentral